Mauremys reevesii (Reeves's turtle) is the source of this 584-nucleotide long non-coding RNA. RefSeq lists it as uncharacterized. NCBI's taxonomy places the organism in Eukaryota, Metazoa, Chordata, Testudines, Geoemydidae. The transcript has 4 exons. The record is from RefSeq and is a predicted model, not a curated record.
CCGAGAUGUUUGGAACCUGCUCAGUCUGCUGCAUCUGGUGCCAGCUGAAUUCUAGGCAUGGAAAACACUAGUUUUAGGUGGCCAAAUUUUGUUCCCCACCUGGGAUUUUGUCCCGUAGAAUCAAUCACUGGGGAUAAUAGGGUUUGUCCUUUUCGUUUGACCUUUUCCUCCAUCCCUCCAAAUUUUCUCUUCAUCUCUUACUUCUUUUGUCCUGCUCCUCUCUCUUGCCAGCACUAUGACACCUGCCCUUGAGCCAGAGGUAGAGACCCACCUCCUUCGAGCUGCCCUGCAUGCCGUCUUCACCCUGGGCACGCAGAAGGACACCACCCAAGAAAUCCAGGAUCUGCAAAGGGUCGUGCCAGACCUCCUGGAUGCCAUGCUGGGGAACCUGCUGGCAGAGUCCCCAGACACCAACAGGCUCCACUACAUCUUGAAGCACAAUGACACCUGCCCAUGAGCUAGAGGUAGAGACCCACCACCUUUGAGCUGCCCUGCAUGCCGUCUUCACCCUGGGCACGCAGAAGGACACCACCCAAGUCCAGGAUCUGCAUAGGGUCUUGCCAGACCUCCUGGAUGCCAUGCUG